GGGGAAUCCGGUGCGAAUCCGGAACUGACGCGCAACGGUGUGGGACGGCGGAAGCCGUGCCGAGUCCGAAUGCCC
Molecule: non-coding RNA, 75 nt
Filed under: Streptomyces tsukubensis
Lineage: Bacteria; Bacillati; Actinomycetota; Actinomycetes; Kitasatosporales; Streptomycetaceae
Source: RNAcentral